GGGGAAGUCACGAAUUGAUAGGGAAUUCCUUAAUUAAGCAAUACCACCUAGGGAUAGAGGUAGGACAAUCAAUUGUAUUUUACUUCUAUGACACAUGCAUUGCUAACUGAUAGGGAAGACUAGGGAUAGUAAGCCAGUAAUUAGUAGUAGGCUCUUCUCACCGAGGAAUCGAGUUUAGGGUAGACUAAGAAAGUUUGCAUGACAAUUAGAUAAUAAAGCAAAUUAAUAAGAAGAGUAGAUAAAAGAGAGUGGAUAAGAUGAAAUUGUAAACCCUAACAACUCCAUUCAUCCAUAUCUUUUUCUUGCCAAUUGAAUCACUUGCAUUUGCAUGUUUAUUUUCAU
RNAcentral lists this long non-coding RNA (342 nucleotides) under Vigna radiata. Its description in RNAcentral is "long non-coding RNA (VRAD_LNC001086)". The record is from RNAcentral. Lineage: Eukaryota; Viridiplantae; Streptophyta; Magnoliopsida; Fabales; Fabaceae.